CACAAGUGAAAUGGUGUUUCCUCACCUCAAGGCUUUUUCCUUAAGAACUAUCAAGAAGCAGAUGGUUCCCUCCACCGUAGAUUUAAUCUUUUUGUGAAUCUUGAGCCUUUUGUGAGUCAUAACUUUGGUUUCAAGAAGUUAUUUUCUCUUGGGAAGUAGUUGAUGGUGACUGUAAAAACAUGUAGGGCUUUAUAGCUGUCGGAACUAUUAGAUCUACAUUACAUGAAGAAAGAAGAUAGUUCAACAAUGGAAAUAGCUACUCCACUUCCUACCUAUGCUCAGCUCUCCUAAGAUUUCUUAGGGUGGAUCACUUAUAGUGGAGCUUCUGAUUUUUUAAGGUAGACUUCUUAGGAUUUCUUAGUCUCAACUUGGUGGAUCACUCAGAGUGGAGCUUCUUAAGAGAGCCAUGCCAGAGGAACCCUAAAGUCAAAGUCUGCUAACAGCUGGUGGCAGUUAUUAUCCUGUGAAACCCUCCUUGUAUGAAAGUUUCUUCAGAAACGCUCCAGAAGGCCAUAGAAACAGAUGAGAAUGGAACAGUAUUGUAGCGGGCUGAGUGACAUGUAAACAGUCUGCUCACGCUACCAACUGCUUCUCUGGGGCUUUAUGGAAUGCUUCCAAGCAGGAUCAACCUUGUUCCUACUUCAUUGUGUAUCCUGGGCCUCUGAUCACAAAAUUUAAAACACGAACAUUUUCAUGAACUGCAUGCUCUCUGAUUCACUUAGAUAUAUUUUCUAAAAAAAACAGACACUUGCUAAAAGGAACAAAGUUUUUCUCCAAGAUCUAAGAGCUUUUAUUGCAAUUCUAUUAGAGUUUGCCACAGGCAUCAUUCAGUAUUUGGAUCUGUCUUAGCCACUGUAUUAAUUUGCUCCAAUGAGGAGAUAACAUAUGGAACAGUAAUUGCAGUGAGAAUUACCACCUGAUUAAGUAAUGAUAAGCUGGGCAGCAUAUCUGGCACCAACUCCUUUUCUAUGACUCAAACUCCUGAUACAGAGACUUAACAAGUCUCCUGCUGCAUGAAGUGACUUUGCCUGUAGGGUCCCAUACCAUUACUUUCUCUCAGCUUGGAAGUGACUCUACUGUGUUGCCUGGUUCCUCAGCAUCUUCUAUUCAAUUUCACAGCCCUUCUAUUAACGUAGUUACCUGAAUUAAAAUCCCUCUCUUAUAUACUUAAAGUGGGUAAUAAUUUUUCUGGAUAGCCUACCUGUACAUCAGCUAACUUCCACUAAUCCCAUGGGAUUACAAUUAACGUAUUUCUCUGAGUAUAUAAAAAGAAUGAUUAUGUUUGGCAACUUUUAUAAUCCCCAAAUUACCCUUUUAGAAAAGCUAUUACAGUAGGAAAGGCCAGGAACAGCUAUUUUUUAACAUACUUUAAAAAUAAUUGAUUUAGAACAAUGUUAUAAUCUAAGAUGUUUUCCAAGGACUGAAUGAUGGACAUACUCUUUUCUAUAUUAUCAUUCUUGUCAUUGGGACAAACACCUGACGCUAGCAACGUAAGACAGAGAGAUUCAUUUUGGCUCACAGUUUCCUUGGGUUCAGUCCAUCCUUGGCUGCCUCUCAGGGAGAAAUAGCAUGGUGAAAGGGCAGUAAAGAAGAAAGCUGCUCAGGCCAUAGUGGCCAGGAAUCAGAGAGAUAAUUAUGGGAAGCCUCAGGUAUAAUAAUAUACCUUCCUAGAUCAUACCUUAGUAACCCUGCCCCCACCACACUCCACCUCCUAACAUAUGUUUCAGUACUAAAUUCAUCAAUGGAUGAAUCCACUGAUGAGCACCCCCAUGUUUCAAUUAUCUUCCAAAUAUAUGAGAUAUUUGGAGGCAUUUGAGAUUGAAAUCAUAGCAUUGUCCUCCUUGCUCCCAAAUGGCUCAUGCCUAUCUCAUUAUACAAAGUGUAUUUAGUUCAUCUGUGAUCUUUAAUUAUGAUAUGUCAGGUUUCCUCAAGUAAGAGCCACCUACCAUAUUAUUAAAGUUUCGGUGCGUCUGUGAAUGAUUGCCACACAGAUCAACACACUGAAGGGUGAGAGGACACCCACUGUAGAAGUGGAUGGUGCCAACAAAUAAUCUCGUAUCUUGGGCAGAAUAAAAAAGGAAAGAAAGAAGAAUGACCUAUUUGGAGGAACAUCAGUCUUCAUCCUUACCUUUGGACACUGAUUUCCAAUCUCUUUCAACAUGUACUUUCCAAUCUUUUGACACAGACUCACACCAGUGACUCUGCAAUGAGCUUCCGGGCCUUCAACUUCCCACUGAAACUGGAUUCUCUGUCUCUCCAGCACGCAGAUGGCCAUUUUGGAUUAUUCUGCAUCUGAUUCCACAGACAGCACUAUGGCUAUUCUACUUAUAAUCCUGUAAGCCUAUUUAAUAAAUCUGUGUUUAAUUAUA
Long non-coding RNA from Cavia porcellus (domestic guinea pig), 2369 nucleotides. RefSeq lists it as uncharacterized. NCBI's taxonomy places the organism in Eukaryota, Metazoa, Chordata, Mammalia, Rodentia, Caviidae. The record is from RefSeq and is a predicted model, not a curated record. The transcript is spliced from 3 exons.